Molecule: ribosomal RNA, 118 nt
Filed under: Periophthalmus magnuspinnatus
Lineage: Eukaryota; Metazoa; Chordata; Actinopteri; Gobiiformes; Gobiidae
Source: RNAcentral
GCUAGCGGCUAUACCAGCUUGUCAAUGCCUGAUUUCAUCUGACCUCAGAAGUAAAGCAAGGCCCUGCCUGGUUAGUACUUGGAUAGUAGACCACAGACAAUAUAGUGUGCCACAAAUA